This 359-nucleotide ribosomal RNA is filed under the name uncultured bacterium. RNAcentral describes it as "bacterial SSU rRNA". It matches the Rfam family "Bacterial small subunit ribosomal RNA", at positions 8 to 353 of the family's 1533-position model. The record is from RNAcentral.
AGAGUUUGAUCAUGGCUCAGGAUGAACGCUAGCUACAGGCUUAACACAUGCAAGUCGAGGGGUAAACGAUAUUGGAAGCUUGCUUCCGAUAGGCGUCGACCGGCGUACGGGUGAGUAACGCGUAUCCAACCUGCCCACCACUUGGGGAUAACCUUGCGAAAGUAAGACUAAUACCCAAUGACGUCUCUAGAAGACAUCUGAAAGAGAUUAAAGAUUUAUCGGUGAUGGAUGGGGGAUGCGUCUGAUUAGCUUGUUGGGCGGGGUAACGGCCCACCAAGGCGACGAUCAGUAGGGGUUCUGAGAGGAAGGCCCCCCACAUUGGAACUGAGACACGGUCCAAACUCCUACGGGAGGCAGCA